This 58-nucleotide non-coding RNA is filed under the name Helianthus annuus (common sunflower). The record is from RNAcentral. Lineage: Eukaryota; Viridiplantae; Streptophyta; Magnoliopsida; Asterales; Asteraceae.
CAUUGGUUGUGAGCUGACGCCACUCUACUGUUGAGUCCAAGGCAGGACGAAACUAGUG